Molecule: long non-coding RNA, 647 nt
Filed under: Felis catus (domestic cat)
Lineage: Eukaryota; Metazoa; Chordata; Mammalia; Carnivora; Felidae
Description: lncRNA (ENSFCAG00000050419.1)
Source: RNAcentral
GUGCCGCGGUUUUCCCCAGAGGCAGUGAAAGAGCAGCUGAUGACCUCUAUAUUGAAAACUGGGAGGAACUUGACACGUCCUGAAGAUGCGUCACUGUUUCUCACCACCUGAGUAUUAUUAAGUAACUGAUACUGUGGGUCCAAGGAGGAGCCAGGCCUCUGGUAAGAUGACAUCUCAAUGUGAAGACUGCAUUUCCCAGAGGACAUAAGCGGAAAUAAUAUGCACAACUUCUAAGUUUUGUCCUAACAUGGAAAAGGCAUACCCUUCACUUCCACCUUCCCCCUUUCUGCUAUAAUGGAUGUGGGUGUGGUGGUAAGUCAUCUUGAACCAUCUGGAUGAGGGCAACACUGUACGGAUGGCAGAGAAGAUACAAGGAAAGGAUCCUGCAUUCCUCUGAAACCUCUCCCCUGUUUGAGUGGACCAUCCUAGGACAGCCGUUCUGUGUGAUCCAGCAAUGGGUGCCUCCAAACAAGAAAACUCUAUGCAACAUAAGCCCAAACAUUUGGGAAGCCACAAAAAGAGCCCAGGAAGUUCAGGGAUGUAUCCUGUUUUUUCCAUGCAAGAAACUAAAGAUGGGUAAUAAGGAGGAGAAUGAGAAGCCUGGAAUCAAGCAGAAUUUUAAAAUCAUGAUGCAAGCAGCAUUUUAA